RNAcentral lists this ribosomal RNA (421 nucleotides) under uncultured bacterium. RNAcentral describes it as "bacterial SSU rRNA". It matches the Rfam family "Bacterial small subunit ribosomal RNA", at positions 40 to 507 of the family's 1533-position model. The record is from RNAcentral.
CGGCAGGCCUCAAACAUGCAAGUCUAGGGGGUGUAGCAAUACAUCACCGGCGGACGGGUGCGUAACGCGUGGGAAUAUACCUAUCGAUUCGGAACAACUGAGGGAAACUUCAGCUAAUACCGAAUACGUCCUAACGGAGAAAGAUUUAUCGUCGAUAGAUUAGCCCGCGUUCGAUUAGCUAGUUGGUGGGGUAACGGCCCACCAAGGCGACGAUCGAUAGCUGUUCUGAGAGGAAGAUCAGCCACACUGGGACUGAGACACGGCCCAGACUCCUACGGGAGGCAGCAGUUGGGAUCUUGGACAAUGGGGAAACCCUGAUCCAGCCAUGCCGCGUGAGUGAUGAAGGCCUUCGGGUUGUAAAACUCUUUCGCGCACGACGAUAAUGACGGUAGUGCGAGAAGAAGCUCCGGCUAACUUCGUG